UCCGCUUCUCGGCUCUUUGAGCUAAGAUCAAAAGUGAGUUAAUUUGUUCUUAUCAGCUUAAUAUCUGAUACAAUCCCCAUAGGGGAUUCAGUAUAUUAAUGCGUUUUUUGUAAUAUUGUUU
This 121-nucleotide small nuclear RNA is filed under the name Trachymyrmex septentrionalis. Its description in RNAcentral is "U2 spliceosomal RNA". It matches the Rfam family "U2 spliceosomal RNA", at positions 1 to 117 of the family's 192-position model. Rfam says of the family: U2 is a small nuclear RNA (snRNA) component of the spliceosome (involved in pre-mRNA splicing). Complementary binding between U2 snRNA (in an area lying towards the 5' end but 3' to hairpin I) and the branchpoint sequence (BPS) of the intron results the bulging out of an unpaired adenosine, on the BPS, which initiates a nucleophilic attack at the intronic 5' splice site, thus starting the first of two transesterification reactions that mediate splicing. Lineage: Eukaryota; Metazoa; Arthropoda; Insecta; Hymenoptera; Formicidae. The record is from Rfam by way of RNAcentral.